RNAcentral lists this transfer RNA (76 nucleotides) under Escherichia coli. RNAcentral describes it as "tRNA-Ala". It matches the Rfam family "tRNA". From Rfam's summary of the family: Transfer RNA (tRNA) molecules are approximately 80 nucleotides in length. Their secondary structure includes four short double-helical elements and three loops (D, anti-codon, and T loops). Further hydrogen bonds mediate the characteristic L-shaped molecular structure. tRNAs have two regions of fundamental functional importance: the anti-codon, which is responsible for specific mRNA codon recognition, and the 3' end, to which the tRNAs corresponding amino acid is attached (by aminoacyl-tRNA synthetases). tRNAs cope with the degeneracy of the genetic code in two manners: having more than one tRNA (with a specific anti-codon) for a particular amino acid; and 'wobble' base-pairing, i.e. permitting non-standard base-pairing at the 3rd anti-codon position. The record is from RNAcentral. Lineage: Bacteria; Pseudomonadati; Pseudomonadota; Gammaproteobacteria; Enterobacterales; Enterobacteriaceae.
GGGGGCAUAGCUCAGCUGGGAGAGCGCCUGCUUUGCACGCAGGAGGUCUGCGGUUCGAUCCCGCGCGCUCCCACCA